AGAGAACUUUCCAGAGAUGGAUUGGUGCCUUCGGGAACUCUGAGACAGGUGCUGCAUGGCUGUCGUCAGCUCGUGUUGUGAAAUGUUGGGUUAAGUCCCGCAACGAGCGCAACCCUUAUCCUUUGUUGCCAGCGGUCCGGCCGGGAACUCAAAGGAGACUGCCAGUGAUAAACUGGAGGAAGGUGGGGAUGACGUCAAGUCAUCAUGGCCCUUACGAGUAGGGCUACACACGUGCUACAAUGGCGCAUACAAAGAGAAGCGACCUCGCGAGAGCAAGCGGACCUCAUAAAGUGCGUCGUAGUCCGGAUUGGAGUCUGCAACUCGACUCCAUGAAGUCGGAAUCGCUAGUAAUCGUGGAUCAGAAUGCCACGGUGAAUACGUUCCCGGGCCUUGUACACACCGCCCGUCACACCAUGGGAGUGGGUUGCAAAAGAAGUAGGUAGCUUAACCUUCGGGAGGGCGCUUACCACUUUGUGAUUCAUGACUGGGGUGAAGUCGUAACAAGGUAGGCGUAGUGCU
RNAcentral lists this ribosomal RNA (519 nucleotides) under uncultured bacterium. RNAcentral describes it as "bacterial SSU rRNA". It matches the Rfam family "Bacterial small subunit ribosomal RNA", at positions 990 to 1509 of the family's 1533-position model. The record is from RNAcentral.